Molecule: ribosomal RNA, 304 nt
Filed under: uncultured bacterium
Lineage: Bacteria
Description: partial 16S ribosomal RNA
Rfam family: Bacterial small subunit ribosomal RNA
Source: RNAcentral
CAGCAGUAGCCGCGGGAAUACGUAGGUGGCAAGCGAUGUCCGGAAUUAUUGGGCGUAAAGGGCUCGCAGGCGGUUUCUUAAGUCUGAUGUGAAAGCCCCCGGCUCAACCGGGGAGGGUCAUUGGAAACUGGGAAACUUGAGUGCAGAAGAGGAGAGUGGAAUUCCACAUGUAGCGGUGAAAUGCGUAGAGAUGUGGAGGAACACCAGUGGCGAAGGCGACUCUCUGGUCUGUAACUGACGCUGAGGAGCGAAAGCGUGGGGAGCGAACAGGAUUAGAUACCCCCGUAGUCCCUGUCUCUUAUAC